This 798-nucleotide ribosomal RNA is filed under the name Triticum aestivum (bread wheat). Its description in RNAcentral is "partial small subunit ribosomal RNA". Lineage: Eukaryota; Viridiplantae; Streptophyta; Magnoliopsida; Poales; Poaceae. The record is from RNAcentral.
AUGGCGGGCGCGACCAUGGCGCUCUCCUCCCCGGCGAUGGCGGGCACCCCGGUGAAGGCCUCCAGGGCGGCGCCCUUCGGCGAGGGCCGCAUCACCAUGCGCAAGACGGCGGGCAAGCCCAAGGUGGCGGCGUCCAGCAGCCCGUGGUACGGCUCCGACCGCGUGCUCUACCUCGGCCCGCUCUCCGGCGACCCCCCGAGCUACCUCACCGGCGAGUUCCCCGGCGACUACGGCUGGGACACCGCGGGCCUCUCCGCCGACCCCGAGACCUUCGCCAAGAACCGGGAGCUGGAGGUGAUCCACUGCCGCUGGGCCAUGCUCGGCGCGCUCGGCUGCGUCUUCCCGGAGCUGCUCGCCCGCAACGGCGUCAAGUUCGGCGAGGCCGUGUGGUUCAAGGCCGGCUCCCAGAUCUUCAGCGAGGGCGGCCUCGACUACCUCGGCAACCCCAGCCUGGUGCACGCGCAGAGCAUCCUCGCCAUCUGGGCCUGCCAGGUGGUGCUCAUGGGCGCCGUGGAGGGCUACCGCGUCGCCGGCGGCCCGCUCGGCGAGAUCGUGGACCCGCUCUACCCCGGCGGCAGCUUCGACCCCCUGGGCCUCGCCGAGGACCCCGAGGCGUUCGCGGAGCUCAAGGUGAAGGAGAUCAAGAACGGCCGCCUCGCCAUGUUCUCCAUGUUCGGCUUCUUCGUGCAGGCCAUCGUCACCGGCAAGGGGCCCCUGGAGAACCUCGCCGACCACCUCGCCGACCCCGUCAACAACAACGCCUGGGCCUUCGCCACCAACUUCGUCCCCGGCAAGUGA